GACGAACGCUGGCGGCGUGCUUAACACAUGCCUUUCGAACGGAAAGGCCCUGCUUUUGUGGGGUGCUCGAGUGGCGAACGGGUGAGUAACACGUGAGUAACCUGCCCUUGACUUUGGGAUAACUUCAGGAAACUGGGGCUAAUACCGGAUAGGAGCUCCUGCUGCAUGGUGGGGGUUGGAAAGUUUCGGCGGUUGGGGAUGGACUCGCGGCUUAUCAGCUUGUUGGUGGGGUAGUGGCUUACCAAGGCUUUGACGGGUAGCCGGCCUGAGAGGGUGACCGGCCACAUUGGGACUGAGAUACGGCCCAGACUCCUACGGGAGGCAGCAGUGGGGAAUAUUGCACAAUGGGCGGAAGCCUGAUGCAGCAACGCCGCGUGCGGGAUGACGGCCUUCGGGUUGUAAACCGCUUUCGCCUGUGACGAAGCGUGAGUGACGGUAAUGGGUAAAGAAGCACCGGCUAACUACGUGCCAGCAGCCGCGGUGAUACGUAGGGUGCGAGCGUUGUCCGGAUUUAUUGGGCGUAAAGGGCUCGUAGGUGGUUGAUCGCGUCGGAAGUGUAAUCUUGGGGCUUAACCCUGAGCGUGCUUUCGAUACGGGUUGACUUGAGGAAGGUAGGGGAGAAUGGAAUUCCUGGUGGAGCGGUGGAAUGCGCAGAUAUCAGGAGGAACACCAGUGGCGAAGGCGGUUCUCUGGGCCUUUCCUGACGCUGAGGAGCGAAAGCGUGGGGAGCGAACAGGCUUAGAUACCCUGGUAGUCCACGCUGUAAACGGUGGGUACUAGGUGUGGGGUCCAUUCCACGGGUUCCGUGCCGUAGCUAACGCUUUAAGUACCCCGCCUGGGGAGUACGGCCGCAAGGCUAAAACUCAAAGGAAUUGACGGGGCCCCGCACAAGCGGCGGAGCAUGCGGAUUAAUUCGAUGCAACGCGUAGAACCUUACCUGGGUUUGACAUGGAUCGGGAGUGCUCAGAGAUGGGUGUGCCUCUUUUGGGGUCGGUUCACAGGUGGUGCAUGCCUGUCGUCAGCUCGUGUCGUGAGAUGUUGGGUUAAGUCCCGCAACGAGCGCAACCCUUGUUCACUGUUGCCAGCACGUUAUGGUGGGGACUCAGUGGAGACCGCCGGGGUCAACUCGGAGGAAGGUGGGGAUGACGUCAAGUCAUCAUGCCCCUUAUGUCCAGGGCUUCACGCAUGCUACAAUGGCUGGUACAGAGAGUGGCGAGCCUGUGAGGGUGAGCGAAUCUCGGAAAGCCGGUCUCAGUUCGGAUUGGGGUCUGCAACUCGACCUCAUGAAGUCGGAGUCGCUAGUAAUCGCAGAUCAGCAACGCUGCGGUGAAUAAAGGGCCCGGGGCU
Molecule: ribosomal RNA, 1347 nt
Filed under: uncultured bacterium
Lineage: Bacteria
Description: partial 16S ribosomal RNA
Rfam family: Bacterial small subunit ribosomal RNA
Source: RNAcentral